Molecule: long non-coding RNA, 1152 nt
Filed under: Brassica napus (rape)
Lineage: Eukaryota; Viridiplantae; Streptophyta; Magnoliopsida; Brassicales; Brassicaceae
Description: long non-coding RNA (BNAP_LNC020098)
Source: RNAcentral
UUUCGAUAUCAUAACUGAUAUUUAAACUCGCAGAUGUGGUUGAGCAAAUCUGUUCUGUCCAGGGCUCUGACCUCACCAAAGAAAUAACUCGAGUCGUUAUCCGUCUCCUCAUUGACCAGUAAGAAACAAUCAACACAUAGUUCCCUUUAUAUUAUUGUCUAUAUUGUGCUAACAUCAGUAAUAAAAAAUAUUUCCUACCCAAGAUUUGUGGUCGUCUAUUUAUUUCCCUUACUUAUCAAUCUAAUUUUACACAAAUCUUUAUUUUACAGCUUAAAAGAAACCACAAUAACCCAAACAAUCAAAACACCAAAAACUAGAAUCCCGAAAAGACGAAUCAUUAAUGAUCACCUCUCUUUUUGUCUAAUCUUACAAAUAAACUUCAAAACAAAUAUAUCAAACCAAUCAACUCAACUAAAACUCCACGACACAUACAUUGAGCAAGCUAAACAAAUACAAACUAUAUGACCAACUAUUUAACAAUUUACAAACUUACUUUCGCAGAUGCUUACGAAGAAGACGAAAACGACAACUAAGAUCAGUGAAAUUACUUAAACAAAAAAGCAUAGUAAGUUACAAACUCUGAUAAAUACAACUAACAAUGAUUUUUGUUUACAUAUUAUCCAUCAAAUAAAAGAGAAACAAACACAACCACACCAGCAGAUACAAGAAACAAUCCCAACAUAUACAAAGGCGGCAACAACAUCUCCACCUGCUCACUCCUCUUGUCUUAUGAAAAUAGCUUACAUGCUCAAUGUCAACAGGCCAAUGCUAUUGUCUUCGAAAAAUACAUAUAUUCGUUUUAAUGCCCAAAUAGUAAUUGUCACUUAAUUUAUAACUAUUUCUACAAAUCUUUAUGUAUUUGUUUUAAAGGUCCGGUAAAACCAACAAAUUUAAAAAUAAAAUAACAUAUAACCAACAUAAUAAGAAUAAAAAAAAUUAUUACUUACUACACACAACUUACACAACUAAACUGGAGAAAAAAAUAUCCAGAAACAAAAGGUAUUCUCAACAACCUUAAUAUAAUUUAUGUAGUAUCUACAGUAGAAGUAACAAACUAAAAAGACAAACAAACAAUAAGUCUCAGUGACACAACAAGCAACACCACGAACUAUAUCAAUCACAUUACUAACACAGUUUAGUCUUUCAUGAGUG